This 478-nucleotide ribosomal RNA is filed under the name uncultured bacterium. RNAcentral describes it as "SSU rRNA". It matches the Rfam family "Bacterial small subunit ribosomal RNA", at positions 26 to 518 of the family's 1533-position model. The record is from RNAcentral.
AGGACAAACGCUGGCGGGGUGCAUGAGACAUGCAAGUCGAACGAGGCACUGUUGAGCUUGCUCGACGGUGUCCUAGUGGCGGACGGCUGAGUAACGCGUAGGUGACCUACCCGGAAGUGGGGAAUAACUGCCCGAAAGGGUGGCUAAUACCGCAUGUGGUCGACGAUUCGAUUCGUCGUCCAAAGGAGCAAUUCGCUUCCGGAGGGGCCUGCGUCCGAUUAGCUAGUUGGUGGGUAACGGCUUACCAAGGCGACGAUCGGUAGCUGGUCUGAGAGGAUGAUCAGCCAGACUGGGACUGAGACACGGCCCAGACUCCUACGGGAGGCAGCAGUCGGGAAUUUUGCCCAAUGAGCGAAAGCUUGAGGCAGCAACUCCGCGUGAGGGAUGAAGGCUCUAGGGUCGUAAACCUCUUUUCUCAGGGAAGAUACAAGACGGUACCUGAGGAAUAAGCGACGGCUAACUACGUGCCAGCAGCCGC